This 510-nucleotide ribosomal RNA is filed under the name uncultured bacterium. RNAcentral describes it as "bacterial SSU rRNA". It matches the Rfam family "Bacterial small subunit ribosomal RNA", at positions 153 to 658 of the family's 1533-position model. The record is from RNAcentral.
GAAAGGGUAGCUAAUACGGGAUAUUCUGGCCUUCCUGCAUGGGUUGGUUUGGAAAGGUUGUUUUUCUGGUAAGGGAUGGGCUCGCGGCCUAUCAGCUUGUUGGUGGGGUGAUGGCCUACCAAGGCUUUGACGGGUAGCCGGCCUGAGAGGGUGGACGGUCACACUGGGACUGAGAUACGGCCCAGACUCCUACGGGAGGCAGCAGUGGGGAAUAUUGCACAAUGGGCGCAAGCCUGAUGCAGCGACGCCGCGUGAGGGAUGAAGGCCUUCGGGUUGUAAACCUCUUUCGUCAGGGAACAAGGCACCGUCUUUUGGUGGUGUUGAGGGUACCUGGAUAAGAAGCGCCGGCUAACUACGUGCCAGCAGCCGCGGUAAUACGUAGGGCGCAAGCGUUGUCCGGAAUUAUUGGGCGUAAAGAGCUCGUAGGCGGCUGGUCGCGUCUGUCGUGAAAACUUCCGGCUCAACCGGGGGCUUGCGGUGGGUACGGGCCGGCUAGAGUGCGGUAGGGGU